This 446-nucleotide ribosomal RNA is filed under the name uncultured bacterium. Its description in RNAcentral is "bacterial SSU rRNA". It matches the Rfam family "Bacterial small subunit ribosomal RNA", at positions 328 to 792 of the family's 1533-position model. The record is from RNAcentral.
UUUCCAGACUCCUACGGGAGGCAGCAGUGGGGAAUAUUGCACAAUGGGGGAAACCCUGAUGCAGCGACGCCGCGUGAGUGAAGAAGUAUUUCGGUAUGUAAAGCUCUAUCAGCAGGGAAGAAAAUGACGGUACCUGACUAAGAAGCCCCGGCUAACUCCGUGCCAGCAGCCGCGGUAAUACGGAGGAUGCGAGCGUUAUCCGGAUUUAUUGGGUUUAAAGGGUGCGUAGGCGGAAUGCCAAGUCAGCGGUAAAAUCGGGGGGCUCAACCUCGCUCCGCCGUUGAAACUGGCGUUCUUGAGUGGGCGAGAAGUAUGCGGAAUGCGUGGUGUAGCGGUGAAAUGCAUAGAUAUCACGCAGAACCCCGAUUGCGAAGGCAGCGUACCGGCGCCCAACUGACGCUGAAGCACGAAAGCGUGGGUAUCGAACAGGAUUAGAUACCCUUGUA